AGUAACGGCGAGUGAAGCGGCAACAGCUCAAAUUUGAAAUCUGGCCUCUUUGGGGUCCGAGUUGUAAUUUGUAGAGGAUGUUUCGGGUACCGCCUCGGUUUAAAUUUCUUGGAACAGAAUGUCAAAGAGGGUGGGAAUCCCGUCUUGGACCGGCGGUAGGGCCCAUGUGAAACUCCUUCGACGAGUCGAGUUGUUUGGGA
This 200-nucleotide ribosomal RNA is filed under the name Exophiala pisciphila. RNAcentral's name for it is "partial large subunit ribosomal RNA". It matches the Rfam family "Eukaryotic large subunit ribosomal RNA", at positions 82 to 279 of the family's 3401-position model. Lineage: Eukaryota; Fungi; Ascomycota; Eurotiomycetes; Chaetothyriales; Herpotrichiellaceae. The record is from RNAcentral.